CAUGGAUUAUAAGGAAAACGACGCUCGUGCAAUGAACUCACAAUAUAAUGUAAGUUUUUGUCAUAAUAUACAUAUAUGUUUUGUAACAAAGUAGUAUGUGUUGUUUUAUAUGUUUGUGAUUGUCUUUUGUAUGUUUGAUGUCAUUUAGUGCCAGAGACCCAGGCAAAAACAGGGAUUGUUAAAUAUAUACGCUGGACACAACAAAUCAGGAUGGUCGACCGUUUAAUUUAAUUUCGGACUCUGGGUUAAAAAACUUGGCACAGUUUUUUAUUUCUGUCGAUGAGAAACUGGGGGAAAACGUCAAUAUUGACUCUUUAUUGCCGCAUCCCACAACUAUAUCGCGAAACAUCGGUGCGCUCUAUGAUUUUCAUUUCAAUGAAGUAAAAUGCGAAAUUAAUGAGCAUAACUUUGGAUAUCUGGACGGACGAUUUCUUUAUGAAAUCUUAUAUUUCACUGACUAUGCAUUAUGUCAAAGAAGGCACUCUUAAAAACCGACUGCUAGCAGUGAAAUCAAUGGAUGGAGCCUCCUGUACCGGUAAUGAAAUAAAAACAAAAUCGCGCGAAUGUUACGUGACUUUGGGUGUGAUUUGAUGAUGGACGAUCCAAUAAUUGUUACCGACCGCGGAGCUAGCAUGAAAGCAGCAUUCAACGGACUGAGCACAAUACACUGUGCCAAUCACUUGCUCCAUAAUGUGAUUGGCAAACUUGUAAAUGAAGUACCAGAACUGCUGGAUCAGGUUAAUCGCUGCAGCAAGCUUGUUAAAAAUUUUAAAAAAUCUUGACAACUGGAACUUAACAAGCAUCCUAAAAAGCUACUGUCCAACUCGUUGGAAUAGCGUAUUUAACCUCUUUAAGUCGGCUGAGCUAAAUUGGAUGGAAAUUUCGCAGAUUUUGGUAGAUAAAAAUGAAAUUACAGAUAAUAAUUUAAAUAACAUUAGCGGAAUCGUCAACCUUCUCGCACCUUUUGAAUGUUGCUCUAAAAUGCUGCAGGGUAGCAAUUAUCCAACAUUGCACUUGACGGUUCCACAUAUAAAUAAGUUUAAAAAUAUAUGCUCACCAAAUGAAAACGAUAUUGAAAUAGUGAAAAUAAUGCAAACUAACGCUUUUAGAGUACACAGAUUCAAUAGUUAUAGAAAAUUUAAAAUCACAACAUUGCCCUAUUUAUGUUUACACCCACCAAUAAAUUAGCAAAAUUCUCAGAAUUAGAAAAGGAACAAAUUUUUAAAGACGUUGAAGAAAUGAUAAUUAAUAAAUAAAUAUAUAAAUAGCCAA
Drosophila eugracilis is the source of this 1272-nucleotide long non-coding RNA. RefSeq lists it as uncharacterized. The transcript has 3 exons. The record is from RefSeq and is a predicted model, not a curated record. Lineage: Eukaryota; Metazoa; Arthropoda; Insecta; Diptera; Drosophilidae.